GAACGAGAGCUUAACCUGCUAAUUAGCGGUAAGUACACUAUAUUUUUAUUUGAAAUUGAAUAUAGGUAAUUAUACAUGUUUAUUCAGUGUUCAAAUUAGGAUAUUUUUUUAUUAAAAUAUUCUUUUCCCUGUUCUACUAUAAUAAUUUGUUUUUUACCUCUAUUUCUCUCUUCCUUUUAACGAAUGUACUUGUGUAUUAAAUAAAGACUUCUUAGAGGAAACAGAUGUGUAUCUAACACAAGGAAGUUUAAGGACAACAACAGGUCUGUGAUGUCCUUAGAUAAACUAGGCUCGACGCGUGCUACAAUGAUAUAUAUAACAAGUUGUUAAAAAUGUACUUAUAAAUAAGUGUGUACAGUUUUUCCUGUACUGAAAAGUAUAGGUAAUCUUUAUCAGU
This 397-nucleotide ribosomal RNA is filed under the name Plasmodium falciparum (malaria parasite P. falciparum). RNAcentral's name for it is "partial 18S rRNA". It matches the Rfam family "Eukaryotic small subunit ribosomal RNA", at positions 1333 to 1561 of the family's 1831-position model. Lineage: Eukaryota; Apicomplexa; Aconoidasida; Haemosporida; Plasmodiidae. The record is from RNAcentral.